CGCAGAAGAACCUUACCUGGCCUUGACAUGUCCGGAAUCCUGCAGAGAUGCGGGAGUGAUUCGGGAAUCGGAACACAGGUGCUGCAUGCAGUCGUCAGCUCGUGUCGUGAGAUGUUGGGUUAAGUCCCGCAACGAGCGCAUCCGUUGUCCUUAGUGGCCAGCAUGUAAUGGUGGGAACUUUAAGGAGACGUACGGCGACAAACCGGAGGAAGGUGGGGAUGACAUCAUGUCAUCAUGGCCCUUACGGCCAGGGGCCACACGUACUACAAAGUCGGUACAGAGGGUUGGGAUACCGCGAGGUGGAGCCAAUCCCAGAAAGCCGAUCUCAGUCCGGAUCGGAGUAUGCAACACGACUCAGUGAAGUCGGAAUCGCUCGUAAUCGUGAAUCAGCAUUGUCGCGGUGAAUACGUUCCCGGACGUUGUACACACGG
RNAcentral lists this ribosomal RNA (431 nucleotides) under uncultured bacterium. Its description in RNAcentral is "bacterial SSU rRNA". It matches the Rfam family "Bacterial small subunit ribosomal RNA", at positions 960 to 1392 of the family's 1533-position model. The record is from RNAcentral.